GGGUAACCUGCCCUAUGCUGGAUAAUAACCUCGGGAAACUGAGUAUAAUGAUCCAUAGCUCACUACGCCUGGAACGGUGAGUGGAUGAAAGCUCCGGCGGCAUAGGAUGGGCCUGCGGCGUAUCAGGUAGUAGGGGGUGUAACGUACCCUCUAGCCCUCUACGCGUACGGGUGUUGGGAGACAUAGCCCGGAGAUGGAUUCUGAGACACGAAUCCAGACCCUACGGGGUGCAGCAGGCGCGAAAACUUGGCAAUGCGAGAAAUCGUGACCAGGGAACUCCAAGUGCAUCGGGUAAGACCGGUGCUUUUCUUGACUCUAAAUAGGUCUUGGAAUAAGGGGUGGGUAAGGACGGUGCCAGCCGCCGCGGUAAUACCGGCGCCUCAAGUGGUAGUCGCUUUUAUUGGGCCUAAAACGUCCGUAGCCGGUCUGAUACAUUCGUGGGUAAAUCAACCAGCUCAACUGGUUGAAUUCUGCGAGGACGGUCAGACUUGGGACCGGGAGAGGUGUGGGGUACGCUCAGGGUAGGGGUAAAAUCCUGUCAUCCUGAGCGGACCACCUGUUGCGAAGGCGCCACACUAGAACGGAUCCGACGGUCAGGGACGAAGCCUAGGGGCACGAACCGGAUUAGAUACCCGGGUAGUCCUAGGUGUAGACGCUGUGGACUUGGUGUUGGGAAGGUUCCGAGCCUUCUCAGUGCC
Molecule: ribosomal RNA, 698 nt
Filed under: uncultured marine archaeon
Lineage: Archaea
Description: bacterial SSU rRNA
Rfam family: Archaeal small subunit ribosomal RNA
Source: RNAcentral